This 805-nucleotide ribosomal RNA is filed under the name uncultured Pelagibacteraceae bacterium. RNAcentral's name for it is "bacterial SSU rRNA". It matches the Rfam family "Bacterial small subunit ribosomal RNA", at positions 33 to 886 of the family's 1533-position model. The record is from RNAcentral. Lineage: Bacteria; Pseudomonadati; Pseudomonadota; Alphaproteobacteria; Candidatus Pelagibacterales; Candidatus Pelagibacteraceae.
ACGCUGGCGGCACGCCUAACACAUGCAAGUCGAACGAAGUAGCAAUACUUAGUGGCAGACGGGUGAGUAACAUGUAGGUAUCUGCCCUUUGGCCUGGAAUAACACGAGGAAACUUGUGCUAAUACCGGAUAAGUCUUUACGGAGAAAGCUUUAUGCACCAUUGGAUGAGCCUGCACUUGAUUAGUUUGUUGGUGGGGUAAUGGCCUACCAAGACUGUGAUCAAUAGCUGAUUUGAGAGGAUGAUCAGCCACAUUGGGACUGAGACACGGCCCAAACUCCUACGGGAGGCAGCAGUGGGGAAUCUUGCACAAUGGAGGAAACUCUGAUGCAGCGAUGCCGCGUGAGUGAAGAAGGCCCUUGGGUUGUAAAGCUCUUUCGUCGGGGAAGAAAAUGACUGUACCCGAAUAAGAAGGUCCGGCUAACUUCGUGCCAGCAGCCGCGGUAAUACGAAGGGACCUAGCGUAGUUCGGAAUUACUGGGCUUAAAGAGUUCGUAGGUUGUUGAAAAAGUUAGUGGUGAAAUCCCAGAGCUUAACUCUGGAACUGCCAUUAAAACUUUUCAGCUAGAGUGUGAUAGAGGAAAGCAGAAUUUCUAGUGUAGAGGUGAAAUUCGUAGAUAUUAGAAAGAAUACCAAUUGCGAAGGCAGCUUUCUGGAUCAUUACUGACACUGAGGAACGAAAGCAUGGGUAGCGAAGAGGAUUAGAUACCCUCGUAGUCCAUGCCGUAAACGAUGUGUGUUAGACGUUGGAAAUUUAUUUUCAGUGUCGCAGCGAAAGCGAUAAACACACCGCCUGGGGAGUACGAC